Molecule: non-coding RNA, 212 nt
Organism: Macaca mulatta (Rhesus monkey)
Lineage: Eukaryota; Metazoa; Chordata; Mammalia; Primates; Cercopithecidae
Source: RefSeq, a predicted model, not a curated record
AGUGGCGCUAGCGGCGGACCCGGCUAGGCAGUUCCUUCCCAGAAGGAGAGAUUCCUCUGCCAUGGAGUCCUACGAUGUGAUCGCCAACCAGCCUGUCGUGAUCGACAACGGAUCCGGUGUGAUUAAAGCUGGUUUUGCUGGUGAUCAGAUCCCCAAAUACUGCUUUCCAAACUAUGUCGGCCGACCAAGCAUGUUCGUGUCAUGGCAGGAGC